GGUGUCUGGAAUGGAGGCUGAUCCAAGAUCCUUGGUGCAAAAUACCAGGGCAUUGUAGCAUGUGCCAUUGGUAUUCCUUUUGUUUUGUCUUUGUUUUUGAUUUCGAGUUUGUUAUCGAGGAUCUCGGACCAGGCUUCAUUCCUCACACC
Molecule: microRNA precursor, 149 nt
Filed under: Oryza brachyantha (malo sina)
Lineage: Eukaryota; Viridiplantae; Streptophyta; Magnoliopsida; Poales; Poaceae
Description: pre miRNA mir-166
Rfam family: mir-166 microRNA precursor family
About the family: This family represents the plant microRNA (miRNA) precursor mir-166. Animal miRNAs are transcribed as ~70nt precursors and subsequently processed by the Dicer enzyme to give a ~22nt product.
Source: Rfam by way of RNAcentral